Long non-coding RNA from Osmerus eperlanus (European smelt), 4492 nucleotides. RefSeq lists it as uncharacterized. The transcript is spliced from 2 exons. NCBI's taxonomy places the organism in Eukaryota, Metazoa, Chordata, Actinopteri, Osmeriformes, Osmeridae. The record is from RefSeq and is a predicted model, not a curated record.
CAUCCUCCAGAACUACAGACCAGUAUCACUGCUACCCUUCUUUUCAAAAACAAUUGAACGUGCUGUAUCUAACCAACUGUCAAACUUUCUUUCUCAGAACAACCUGUUUGACCCCAACCAAUCGGGCUUCAAGACUGGCCACUCCACAGAAACUGCCCUCCUGUCAGUCACCACUGCCCUCCAGUCGUCUGCCAGAGCGGCUUCGAGGUCAUCCGUCAUCAUUCUGCUGGACCUUUCUGCAGCUUUUGACACGGUUAACCAUCAGAUCCUGCUCACCAGACUUUCUGAAAUGGGCAUCACUGGCACUGCACUUCAGUGGAUCUCAUCCUACCUGUCGGGAAGAUCCUACCAGGUCUCCUGGGGAGGAAAAGUGUCAGGAUCCAUCAGGGCUCCGUCCUUGGACCCCUCCUCUUCUCCCUCUACACCACCUCACUUGGACCAAUCAUCACCUCCCAUGGCUUCUCCUACCACUGCUACGCUGACGACACGCAGCUGUACCUGUCGUUCCCCCCGACUGAUCUGGGGAUCUCAGCUAGGAUCGAGGCCUGCUUCACAGACAUCUCCGCCUGGAUGACCAAGCACCACCUCCAGCUGAACCUCGCCAAAACAUAACUUCUCAUCAUCCCGGCCAAGCCCUCCAUCUCCCACGAUCUCUCAAUCACCCUGGGAUCUGCGACCCUGGGAUCUCUGCCAGGAACCUCAGGGUUACCAUGGAUGACGAUCUCUCCCUCACGGCCCACAUUGCUGCAGUCUCCCGGUCAUGUAGAUUCACCCUCUACAACAUCCGGAAGAUCAGGAGAUACCUGUCUGAGCAUUCCAGCCAGCUGCUAGUCCAAGCACUUGUUCUCUCAAAGUUGGACUACUGCAACUCGCUGCUCGCUGGUUUCCCAGCAUGCGCAACCUGCCCUCAGAGGAUUCAAAACGCAGCAGCCCGUCUGGUCUUCAACCUACCCAGACGCUCCCAUGUUACCCCGCUUCUCAUCUCCCUUCACUGGCUACUCAACAAACCUGUUUUUCACAGUCUGCAAUCUGCUGCUGCUAGGCUCCUUACAAGGUCAAACCGUCUGCAAUAUGCUGCUGCUAGGCUCCUUACAAGGUCAAACAGGCGAACUCAUAUCACUCCUCUAAUCUGCUCCCUUCACUGGCUUCCUGUAAUUUACAGGAUCCAAUUCAAAAUUCUCACCAUAACCUGUAGGGCUUUACAUGGUCAGGCUCCUGCUUAUCUUGCCAAUAUAAUUCACCUACACACCCCCUUCCGGUCUCUUAGACCUAUUAGCCAAAAUCUGCUAUCCACGCCACGCACUCGUCUGAAGAUGUGGGGAUAGAGCUUUUGCCGCUAUGGCACCCAGACUCUGGAAUGCUUUGCCAACCAGAAAAGAACAAGUGAAGACUCACUUGUUCAGAUUCAAGACCCUGGUACUGACCUUCCGAGCAGUGAACCGGACUGCACCCGACUACAUCAAGUCUCUCCUCCAGCCUUACACCCCCAGCUGCCACCUACGGUCUUCUUCUGACAACCGUCUGGUGGUCCCACCGCUCAAGAGCGCCUGGUCCCAACACAAGCUCUUCUCCUGUCUGGCCCCCCAAUGGUGGAAUCAUCUCCCCACCUCCAUCAGAGACACUGACUGUCUCCCCACCUUCAAGAAAAGGCUUAAGACGCACUUGUUCCGGGAAUAAAAUCGUACUUAGGAAUGAUUUUCUGGACCUGAUGCUAGUUUCCUCCAGGAUCACAAUGAUUCUUAACAAGAGACUUGUUGGUUAGUUGUAACAAAUUUAAAUUCUUGUACUCGCUGUGAAAUAUUUUAGUGUUGAUUGCUUUUCUACAUUUACAUUUAGUCAUUUAGCAGACACUCUUAUCCAGAGCGAAUUACAUCAUCCGGGAGUACAGGGACAUUCCCCCGAGGCAAGUAGGGUGAAGUGCCUUGCCCAAGGACACCUUGUCAUUUGACACGGCCGGGAAUCGAACUGGCAACCUUCAGAUUACUAGUCCGAUUCCCUAACUGCUCAGCCACCUGACUCCACUACAGGUACACUCUUGCACUUUUUGAGGUUCAUGUUAUUUAAUUGUAACUUGUUUACCUGCAUGCUCUUAUGGUUCUUCCCUUUGGCACUUAUUUGGUUUUUCACAAUGUAUGCUUCAUGUUUUGGCUGCCCGCAAUGUUUGGGGCUAUCUCGUUGUUAUGAUCAGUGACUUAUGCACUUUUGUAAAGCUCUCUCUUGAAAGUCACUUUGGAUAAAAGCGUCUGCUAAAUGCAUAAAUGUAAAUGUAUUGCGGUUUAUGGGUCACGGUUUCGGUUUGGUUUGUUGACAGGUGACUUAAAAGAUGAUUAUACAUCCCAUAGGUGCCAUCACCAGCGUAUAAGUAGUAUUCCCAAAGUUUUUCGCCAGCACAAGGCGCAACGUGUAACAGCAUAUUGAAAAGUCGAAUGUUUUUGUAUCGCUUCAGAUUCCUCAAUACAUACAAUUUGGUUGUCAUUACAGUUUACUUAAGUCUUCUAAAUUAAACUAGAGAGGGUACUUGCUUGCGUCGUUUGCAGAUGGGUCCGUUUAUUAUGAAACAAGCUGAACCCCCUUUGAAACAAGCUAUUCUAACAACGUUGUCACCGGUGUUAUGUCCCUACUGGUUUCCAAACUAACUGGUUUCCCAGCUGUGUGUGCACCUAUCUGCCUCUAUCACCAGUAAUAUGUUUGUGAACUUGAUGAGAUGUAUAUUUUUAUUUAUUAUUGCAGUAUAUUAUUAUUCAUUAUUGCAGUUAUUGUUGUGGGUGGGGAUUGAGGAGACCCCUUCUGACGUGGUCAAGCUGCCAGGGUAACUGACCCUGUAUCGAUUGAAAAAACAUCUUGAGGUCAUCCCUGGUGGCAACGGCAGCUUGGGAUGCCCUCGCGUUUGACAGACGCCCAAUACCCAUGAGGUUAUUGUCCCCGGCAACCACCCGUCUCCACUCCUCUGGCUGGAUCUCCUGAGCUGCUGACACUGUGUCAGUAAAGUUUGGUGGGAUAUACCUGACAGAUGAAAUAUGCACAAACACACAUUAUACAGGGUGAUGAGUUGGAUUAUAUAAGUAUAACAAGGCUAGACUUUGAAGAUCUUUGAUUCCUAUUUGAUUCCUGUUGCUGCUAUUACACCUGAAUGUAUAAUAAUACCUAGUGGCCAAGGAGUUCGCAGCGUCUGUGUAACACAGGUAGUUGUGGAGAGCCGCACAGGCAUUGACCACAUCAACCACCUUCUUUGGAUUGAACUCGAUGGGCCGACCUAGGACCCUCUAUCGCGCAGACAUGAUUCCAAAGGUGUUUUCGAUCACCCUCCUGGCUCUUGAGUGCCUGUAGUUGUAGAUUUUUCUACCUUCAUCAAGAUUGGUACCUGCGUAUAGAAGUGAUUUUCGUCAGAGGCAACUCAUAUUUAGAGAUUUAUUCGAGAAUAUUUCAGUCCAUAUUUGGGUUUAAGGGGCAAUAAAUAGGUACAUUUCAGCAUAAUCAUUUGAAUAAAUAAGUAAUACAUUUACUGUCAAGUAAUUUCCUAUUAUUUAGCCAAAACCAUAGGAAAAGGGGGAACCAAUUUUUUGUUCCGCUUGGGACUUAUUGGGAAUUAUUUAAUUGUUGCCGUCAGGAUAGUUUUACCGGUGCACAAUCAGAAGAGCCACACGAGGUGCUGUGCUGUGUGCCUCCAACGUGAGGAGAGUAACAACAGGAAUCUUACCGUAGGGACGCAUCUGAUUCGCGUGUAGGGGGAAGGCAGCAUCUCUCAAAAAGGUGUGUGGGAUGGGCACUGUAUACUUCCAGGAAGAUCGGCUGGCGGAGGAAGAUCAAGUGUCCCCUGGAGAAGCCCGUGCCCAAACCGACUGGCCUGAAAAAUCCCCCCGUCGCUCUGCCUCCCGUAGGCUCCAACGUCCAGCAUGGUGAAUCGGUACUGGGCAUCGCAAACUGCCAUCAACACCACGGAGUGCGUUCCCUUGUAGUUGAAAUAUUCCCUGCCGGCGGAUGGAGGGGCUUUGAUCUGCACAUGCUUCCCGUCAAUGCAACCAAUGCAGUUGGGGAAGUUCCACAUCCGCCAGAAAUCCCUAGCUAUUUCCUGGAACCCAGCUCUGGAUGGGUAGGGGAUGAACUCAUCUUUCAGUGCCGUGUGUAUGGCCUGGCAAACUUUGUACACGAUGCUAGAGACUGUGGCCGACCCAAGUCGGUAGCUAGCAGCCACACUCUGUUGUGAGCCCCCACUGGCCAGGAUACAGAGUGUGACAGCCAACCUCUCUGCUACAGUAACAGGCGAUGAGUGGGUGCUGGCACGCUGGAUGUAGGGACGGAUGCACUAUUUAUAUUUGCAUCCCUAGUCACGUGUGUUGUAGCCUUCCGCAAGUUGUGAGUUCACUCAACCAUACACCAUUUUAGGCCCAAGUAUCGUAGGCCCACAGUCACGUCCUCCUGUGUUUGUUAUUUUUGUAGCAUGUACCGUCUGAUUUUAACACUGUGGCCAUAAUAAACAUAUUUAUUUUUUAUA